GGAAUUUUCCGCAAUGGGCGAAAGCCUGACGGAGCAAUACCGCGUGAGGGAAGACUGCCUAUGGGUUGUAAACCUCUUUUUUCAGGGAGGAAUUUAAUGACGUGUACCUGAAGAAUAAGCAUCGGCUAACUCCGUGCCAGCAGCCGCGGUAAGACGGAGGAUGCAAGUGUUAUCCGGAAUCACUGGGCGUAAAGCGUCUGUCGGUGGUUAAACAAGUCAACUGUUAAAUCUUGAGGCUUAACUUCAAAAUCGCAGUCGAAACUGUUUGACUAGAGUAUAGUAGGGGUAAAGGGAAUUUCCAGUGGAGCGGUGAAAUGCGUAGAUAUUGGAAAGAACACCGAUGGCGAAGGCACUUUACUGGGCUAUUACUGACACUCAGAGACGAAAGCUAGGGUAGCAAAUGGGAUUAGAUACCCCAGUAGUC
RNAcentral lists this ribosomal RNA (424 nucleotides) under uncultured eukaryotic phytoplankton. RNAcentral describes it as "bacterial SSU rRNA". It matches the Rfam family "Bacterial small subunit ribosomal RNA", at positions 358 to 795 of the family's 1533-position model. The record is from RNAcentral.